RNAcentral lists this transfer RNA (69 nucleotides) under Pipa pipa. RNAcentral's name for it is "tRNA-Trp". It matches the Rfam family "tRNA". Rfam says of the family: Transfer RNA (tRNA) molecules are approximately 80 nucleotides in length. Their secondary structure includes four short double-helical elements and three loops (D, anti-codon, and T loops). Further hydrogen bonds mediate the characteristic L-shaped molecular structure. tRNAs have two regions of fundamental functional importance: the anti-codon, which is responsible for specific mRNA codon recognition, and the 3' end, to which the tRNAs corresponding amino acid is attached (by aminoacyl-tRNA synthetases). tRNAs cope with the degeneracy of the genetic code in two manners: having more than one tRNA (with a specific anti-codon) for a particular amino acid; and 'wobble' base-pairing, i.e. permitting non-standard base-pairing at the 3rd anti-codon position. The record is from RNAcentral. Lineage: Eukaryota; Metazoa; Chordata; Amphibia; Anura; Pipidae.
AGAAGCUUAAGAUAAUUAAACUAGGGGCCUUCAAAGCCCAAAAUAGGAGUUAAACUCCCCUAGCCUCUG